Non-coding RNA from Monodelphis domestica (gray short-tailed opossum), 20882 nucleotides. The record is from RefSeq and is a predicted model, not a curated record. Lineage: Eukaryota; Metazoa; Chordata; Mammalia; Didelphimorphia; Didelphidae.
UCAUUUAUUAAUAUUAAAUUAUUAAUUAAUAAUUUAAUAAAAAUAUAAUAAAUGAAGGUAAUUCACCUUCAAUUACAAUUAUUACUUGAUCCAAGUCACUAGCCUGACACCAGAUGGCAGGAGUCAACUAAACAAUGUAGGCUAGCUUAUUAGGUAAAUGUUUUGAAUACAGAUCUUGGGCAGGAGGCAUUGGAGUGUCAGGUAGAGGCAUAUUUUUGCCUUUUAGACACCCAAAGAGAAGUGGUUACUAACCCAGGUGCAUUUGUGUACAUUUUUGAUGAUCUAGAAAACAAGAAUAUAUUGGUUUAAAAUGUGUGGAAGAGAGUACCAAAUCCCUCUUGCCUUUUUUCUUAUAUUCAUUGAAAGACUGCUUAUUAUAGUUAUUCCCAGUCAAAACCCUGACUUUAAUUCCCAAUUCUGCCAGCUAAAACCCUGGCUAUAACAUUUUCCUCAUGGCAGCUAUCAUAGCAGGAGGUUUUCCCCAUGGUCCCCUAAAUUUUGCCAGAUUAUUUCAUUAUAUUGAUUUUCUUAGUAAAAUGCUCUCUAGUUCAUAUUACUUGUGGAUCUAAACUACAUACCUCUAAAGUAAUCUGUGAUUUAAUCCACUUAUUAGUGGGCCCUGCAGCCCAUCUGCUAGAACACCUUAUAUAAAACCAAAUUAGAGAUAUCUAAUUUUGAAUAAUCAAAUUAUAAAUCUCCAAAUAGCUCACUUGAUUAUAUAAUGAUAUGAGAUUACUAUUCAUCAGAUACUACAUAUGGAUAACAGCCUGGUCCAGAUUUGAACAAGAAGUAUCAGAAUAGUUUGGAUUAUUUUUGAGAAAUUACAGAGUAUUUUUAAUGACCUCAGACUUCUCCCUUGAAUAAAAGGCUUUUAUUGUUUUUACAUCAGUAUUCUUCUGGUGAUACCGUAUGAUUGUGAGUUGUAUAGAAUAGUCUCCAAAGAAUUUAAGUUGAAAAUCACCUAAAGGGCGAUAGGGUGGUACAUUGAGCAGGCUUAACAUUUGACUAGUAAAUUCUACAGGAGACAAAAUUAUAAAGAGUAAAUUCAGAAGGAUGAUGUGAUCAAGAAAGGAAAAAAAAUAAGAGAGGACAACUUGAUAGAUAGCUAUAUGCUCCAUGGAGAGCUAUACAGCAUGAACAUAUCAAGAAAAAAAAUGGUCCCAGCACAUCAAGUGGACGUCCUGUGAUAAAUUUAUGGAGGAUGUGGAUGAGAGUUGCACCAGGAUGGAUAGGUCAAGGUGAGUUCUCUCCUUUUUUUAUUUUCUUUCUUUAAACCCUUACCUUCUGUCUUAGUAUCCACGGUCAGACAGAAGAGUGGCAAGGGUUAAGCAAUUGGGGAUAAGUGACUUGUUCAAGGUCACCCAGCUUGGAAGUGUCUGAGGCCAAAUUUGAAGCUUCCCCUUAGAUGAUUUCUAUUCUAGGUAUUCAUUUUAGGUGAUCCUGGCAUGGUUGAAAUUUAAAUUCCAUUAUGAAUUGGACAUUAAUCCUCAGUAUCUGGUCCAUUUCUACUUACUCAUUACCCACAUAUGUUUAUUACCUACAUCCAAAUAAAUGGACCCAUUUCCUUACUUUAAUAUUCAUAUUCACGUACAUUAAUUCUAUUAAUGCCCUGUUUAUCUGAAAGGGAGAUUUCCAGACCACAGUCCAGAACCAGAAAUGCAUUUUUUAAAAAGGUCAUCGAACCCCAGAAACAGAUGUCUUAAAGCUCCAGCCACAGAGAUGCAUUCUUUGCCACUUAGGUUCUUUCUCAGAGCCUUUUUGUUUUGUGGUCUAUUUAACAAAUCAUCCUUAACAAGCUUGGUUAUCUUGUUUUAUAGCCUCACAGCAGGUUAGAAGCAGUAACCUAGAAGGGGGCUUGGAGCUCUGUUAGUCAGUCUGCACAGUGAGUGUAGCAUAAAAGAAUAUUGGUGGCCCCACAUGAGGGAAAAGGAUGAGAACAAAAGAAAAGCAGACAAUUGUGACUACACAGGAAGACACUGAACUUCCAAACAAUAAUGAUGAUGAAAGCCAGCAGCAAUUUUAACAUUGGCAAAGCACUUUACAAAUAUUAUUUUGUUCUAUCCUCACACAAACCUGUGAGGUAGGUAUUAUUAUCUUCAUUUUACAAACAAAGAAACGGAGACAAAUGGGGAUGAAGUGACACACACAGGAGUCACACAGCUAGUCUUUUAGGUCAAAUUUGAAUUCAGGAUGUCCUGAAUCCAGAGCCAAUGUUUUAACCAUUGUACUUCCUAAACUCCCUUGUGAUGACCAGCCGUCUAGUUAGCUUAAAUUAUUUCAAAUUUUCUGUUUGAAAAGGCAUCUAGAAAAGCUUAAAUCCUUUCAAAUCCUGUUUUAAAAGACUAGAAAACCUUGAAUCAUUUCAAAUCCUGUUUGAAAAGUGUUUAUUACAAUUUAAAUAAAAGAUUUCCAUAAGGAAUCUUUAAAAUUGGGGAAGGGAAGUUCAAAGGUUUUAGUUUUCUAGAAAAUUUACUUAUAUGCAUCCCCUACUGUUACUAGCUAAAAGAGAUGGUUUGAUAUAUGAAUACCUACAUACAUAGAGGUAUAUAUAUACACAGACACAUAUUUUUUUUGGUCUAGACCUGUGAUUUCAUCAGGUAUGGAAGUGCCUUUCAAUGAUUUAUCUUUGAAAGUCCCAGAGACUCAGAGGGGUUAAUGCCUUGCCCAGGGUGCCCCAACUUGUCAGAAGUUUUAGAGGGGGAUAGGCUGCUCAGUGUGAGAGCCAGGCAUAGAGGGGAGGUCCUGGGUUCCAAUUUGACCUCAGAUACUUCCUGGCUGUGUGAUUCUGGUCAAGCUCCAUUUCCUAGUCCUUAAGCUCUUCUGCCUUGGAACCAAUGCACACUAAGAGGUUUUUCUCCGGACUCUAAAUCUGCUUCUACUGCUGCUGCAUUGUAAUAGAGAGAAUAAAAUGUCUUAGGGCCUCUAGAGAGAUGUGGGGGACUCGAAGAGAGAAAUAACUUGCCCAUGGUCACUGGGUCACUGUAAGAAGUCAAAUCUUCAGCGCUCCAGGCUCUACUGUGUCCACGCCCCCAGGAGCCUCCAUACCACUAUAAUUCCUUUUCUUCCCACAGGAAAUGAAUAAAGCCAAGGACCAAGCGCCAUCUUUGUACAAGGUAGGUAGAGAGAAUGGAGGGUGGUGAGGCAUAAAAAGGAAUGAAGUAAAUUGCUCUCUUUCCUGGCUGUGUGGGAAGGUGAGCCCAGGACAGGAUAAUUGGACAAGAAGAACGGUAAGUAAUUUCACCCCUGGGCAGAAUAGGAGUCCAAGAAUGAUUAAAGAAACUGGGACAGUCUAAAACAAAACCUUGAUGCAAACAAACCCCAAACCAAUUUAAUUUAAUUUAACAUUGGAGGGACACAAAAGGGUUGAGGAGAAAUAACAUGGUCAAAGAGUCAUCUCCCACCUUAUAUUUGCAAAGGGAUUUACAGUCAUUUUAUUUAUUGCACUUCAGUUUAUGAAGAUGAAUGGAUUAUCCCAUUUUCAUAUAUAAGAAAACUUGGGAGGAGGGACAGUGAAUGCCAAGAACUCUCAAAUCUAGUCCCAUUCAACAGUAGGAGCAAAGUUGAGAUUCGAUGGAAUUUUUAGCCUUUUGCUUACCUAAUGAGAACUAUACUUCUAUCCCAAAGUUUAACAUUUAUUUUCCCCUUUAAGGAAAAAAAAUUUCUUCCUUCUUUUUUAAGAAGUCGAGGCCUAAGAUAACCAGUGGAACAGGGCACUUAAGUCAAUUAAAUACUCCAAUAAAUCUUUUGACUAAAUUAUUCAGCAAUUCAUUUCUAGAGUGUUUCGAUUUUCAGAUAUCUUGUUUUUGAAAAGGUUUAGAGACACGGGUGUAUUCUUACCAAGUCCUGGGUAGAUCUUAAUUUUGUCAUUAAGGUAGACUUCGGAUUUUACUUUAUUGAUUAAGCCUGGGAAAAAUUGACACUAUUCAUUUUGUAUGCACACAGUCUAUGAAAACAUUCAUUGAUUUCCCAAGCAGUAAAGGAAGAAUGAUAUCUUUUAUAUUGGAAUCUGCUUUUGAGAUUGCACAUUUUAUUUGAGAUUUUUACUUUGUUGAUAAAAAAUGAAUCUUAUCAAGGACACAUGUAAUACCCAGUGGAAUUGCACAUCGGCUAUGGGAAGGGCAGCAGGAGGGGAGGGAGGAAUAGAAUCUGAUUUUUGUAACCAAAGAAUAAUGUUUGAAAUUGACCAAAUAAAAUUUUUAAAAAAUGAAUCCUAGUCAACAUCUUAUUAAAGUUUAAAGAAGAGAUCCUGAUUAAGGCCAGGCAGAACCUUAGCCAAUAAUUAUACCUUUAACCUCAGGGCAGGACAAUGUCUUCUAACUAAUUAUAAAUCUUUGAUAAUAAAUAAUGUUAUUUAUAAUAAAUUUCAAAUUUCAACAUUGUAAUAAUUUUUUAUGAAACUUUUCUUAACUCUAGAAUUUCCAAGAUUAGGCAGCUCCUAAGCUAAAGUACUUUAUUCUCAGGUCUCACAGCAUCUCACUGAGUUGGUUCCCUUUUUAUCUAUAAACAACAACUCUCAUAGGUAAGGGAAGUCAGCAAGCUCUAGCUAUUAAAGUUAGCAGCCAGGUGGCUGGGAAAAGCUUGUGCUGGUGUCUUCUUUGUGAGUUCCAUCUCUCCUGUGAUAAAGUAAGGGGGGAGGGGAGAGGAGUUGAGGUCUCUAGAUCGAUCUCUUCUCUCAAAAAUAUCCACUAAUGGGGACUGGCAGAGGAGGCCCUAAGGUCCAGCUAGCUGGCCACUCAGAAAGAGGACACAGCUCCUUUUAGAAGCAACAGACAGGACUCUCUUUUUUGCUUUGGAGACCAAUGAGAGAGCUUCCAUUCUUUGUUAGCAGACACAUAAAUCUGUUAAUAAAACAAUGUUAUUCCCAGAGAAAUGGCCUCAUAUCCUUUAUUGGUAAAAGAUCAAAACGCACUAUAUGUGUAUCAAUUUGUUAACCUCAAAGCUCUAUAUAAAAUGCAAUUUUGUAUUUUUUUUUUCAGGAAUAGAAUGAGCUAGAUGGCUUUUCCUGUCCCUUCCAACUGGAUUUCUGCAAUCCUGUGAAAUGUUUGUUGGAUUAGAGGGGAAAAAGUGAAAAAUAAGGAACAGCUUUUUGGAAUUGAAGUGGGGAUCUCUCAGUAUCCUUUCUCUUUCCAUUCAAGUCUACUAUUAAGAAAGAAGCCUGUUUUGAAGGGAGUUUGAUGAUUUUUAAAAAGUCCUGGGUUCCACAUCAGAAGAUCUAGGUAGGUUCAAGUCCUGUUUACUAUUUUCUAGUUGUGUCAUGAUCUUGGGAAAAUCAUUGCAUGUCUAAGGGCAUGGUGGUACACUGUCUAAUUCCUAGGGUUGUUGUGACUAAAACUCUUGGCAAACAAAAAAAAAUCUAAAUGUGAACAUUGUUUUUAUUAUUACUGAUAUUAUACUUAAUACCACCUCUGGGCUACUACCCUCUUGGCACUUAUACUUAAGGAUUGGUUUUCCACAUUUUAGGAAUAACUCCUAGUUAGUAGUAGUAGUCUCUUGGUAACCGAGGAUGACAUUUGUUUUUGUGCGUUUUUGUGCACAAAGACACUUGUGCAUGAAAAUUUAAAUUAAAUUUAACUCCUAGUACUGCAAUUUAUAAACCCCAACUUAGUAUUUCCCAAGCACAUUCAGCCAGUAAAUAAUUAGUUUUUAUUUGAAAAAAUUCUUACCUUCUCUCUUAGAAUUGACGCUGUAUGUUGGUUCCAAGUCAGAAGAGUGGUAAGAACUAGGCAAUGGAGGUUAAGUGACUCACCCAGGGUCACACAGCUAGGAAGUACCUGAGAUCAGAUUUGAACCUAAGACUACCCUCUCUAGUCCUGGCUCUUUAUCUGCUGAGCCACCUCAGUGGGCAGCCACUGAGUUGCCCAAAUAAUUAGCUUUUAGUGAAAGGCAUUUUCUAAGAUGAUAUAAUUUUUUUUAAAGGGUUGGUACAAGACAUCCUUACCAACAGUAUAUCCAUUGGCUGUCCUUUCCUACAAAUAGACACAACAUCCAUAGAAAGUAGGGGUUCCGAUUUAGAAUAUAAUGCUAUUGAAGCCAGGUUUAGGAUACAUAUUUGGCAAAGAAUAAUUCACAACUUCUGGUGCUCUAUGACCUGGAAGUCUUUCUUCACUUUGUAGGAUCCUCACACAGCUCCCUUUAGGGCUACCAUCUUGGCUGGGAGAUGCACUCAGAAGGGCACUCAGGGUCACCUCCUUUCUUGAGAACCUUCUUUAUGGCUAUGAAGAAUUGUAUUCCUUGAAUCCAUUUUCCUCCUUUAGAGAAUCUGUGUGUGUGUGUGUCCAUGUCUCUCCUCGGGUAUGUGUUUCUGCUACUCCCAAACUGACACUCAUCUCCUUCUGCUCUUAUAGUUCUGGUGACAUGACCAGUGGAGGGGGAGAAGAAGAAGAGAAAGCUUCCCUCUUCUCUCUCCCACAGGGCUGCUCUUGGGUACAGGUGAAGGAUCUGUUCCUACCAGUACCUACAACUCCUGGAGUUCAUCCUCCUACUGAAAGCCUGCAAGAGGUGUAGCUGCCUUGUUUGUUCAGCCCACAGCCUUGUUAACUUCUUGGUAAUCAGAGAGUUCACACCAGGUAAAGUGGAUUCUUGUUUAUACCUUAAAGCUCAUCUUGUAUGACUGUUUAGAAGUAGAAUCUACACAAAUUCUUGGCACCUACUUAACAUUUUUUUCUUUCAUUUAUUUGUUUAUUUAUUUUUAUUUUAAUAAAAAUUUUUCAGAUAAGUUUUCUGAAGUUAUACAAUCCAAAUUGUCUUUCUUCCCCCAAUCCCAGAGUUGGCAAACAAUUCAAUCUGGGUUAUAUAUGUAUUAUCACACAAAACAUAUUUCUAUAUUAUUCAUUUUUAAGUAAAUAAUUUUAUAAAACCAAAACCCUAAAACAUAAACCAAAAUAAACGAGUGAUAAAUCAUAUGCUUCCAUCUGCAUUCUUACCCCAACAGUUAUUUCUCUGAAGGGGGAUAGUAUUCUUUUUCAUAAGUCCUUCAGAAUUGUUCUGGAUCAUUGUAUUGCUGUUAGUAGCAAAGUCUGUCACUUUUGAUUGUUCCACAAUAUAGUUACUGUAUAUAGUGCUUUCCUGGUUCUGCUUAUUUCACUCUGCAUCAGUUCAUCUAGGUCAUUCCAGCUCUUUCUGAAGUCAUCCUGUUCAUCAUUCCUUGUGGCACAGUAGUAUUCCAUCACCAAUAUUGCUGUUGUUGUUGUUACAAUAUUUCACUUAUGUUCUGCUUAUUUCACUCUGCAUCCAUUUCUGCAGAUCUCUCCAGCUUUUUCUGAAAUCAUCUUGCUUAUUAUUCCUUAUAUAGCAUAAUAGCAUUCCAUCACCGUGAUAUACCACAAUUUGUUCAGGUAUUCCCCAAUUGAGGGACAUCCCUUUGAUUUCCAAUUCUUUACCAUCAUAAAAAGUGCAGCUAUAAAGAUCUUUCCCAUUUUAAAAAAUGUCUUUGGGCGACAGACCUAGUAAUGGUAUUACUGGAUUAAAGGGUAUACAUUUCCUUUAUAUCCUUUUGACCAUAGUUCCAAAUUACCCUCUAGAAUGGUUGGAUCAGUUCACAACUCCACCAUUAUGAAUUUUAAAACUACUCCACUCUACUCAGACUACUUUAGAAGAUCUGAUUUAGCUAUUUCCUGAUUAGUAAAAAUGGAGAUACUUGGUUUAACAGAAUUAGGUCUUGGGAAUUCUACAUUGAUCCAACUUACUAAGUUUAACAAGGUCAAGAAUGUUUGCACCAUACUCAGGGAUUAAGUAUCUGAGGAAAUGGCCUUCAACAGACAUGUGCAGAAACAGCAGACACACUCCUGGGCUAUCCUAAGUCAAGCUAAUUUAUCAUUGGUACAGAUGAGACACAGGAAAGUGAUGUAAAACCAUCUAUAUAAGGCAUGUCACUUCCUCUGCUCUCCCUCUUUCCCUGGAGAGGCGACUCUGGCUGAUAGCAUGCUAAGCAUUCCAACAUCUUGGCAUGGUGGCAGCUAUUUGUCUGGGUUUUGGCGGUGAGUUUUCCCUUCAGCUGAUUCAAGUUCAGGCAUCUUGGCUAAGCCCUUUUUGGAGUUCAGGCUGAUUCCUUCCUCCUUAUUCUCUAAACCCUUACCUUCCUAGAGCCUCUGGUCUUCCUCCUGGCACUAUCCAGGUGGGGGAAAUCCUACACCCUUUCCUUCUUCCUUCUUAAUUUCUUUCCACUAUAUCAAUUAAAUCACCAUAAAUUUCCAGUUGACUUGGUUAUAUUUUUUUAUAUUUGGGAUAUCUAUGGUGACCAAAUAAUUAACAUAGUUUAGGUCACAACACUAAAAUUAUCUUUUAUACCAGCAAUGCAUUAGUGUCCCAAUUUUGCCAUAUCCCCUCCAAUAUUUAUAAUUUUGCUUUACUGUCAUAUUGACUGAUCUAAUAGGUCUGAGGCAGUACUUAAGAGUUGUUUUAAUUUACAUUUCUAUAAUCAAGAUGGAUUUAUUAAAAAUUUUUCAUAUGAUUAAUGAUAGCUUUAACUUCUUCAUAUGAAAACUACCUAUUCAUAUCCUUUAACCAUUUAUUAAUUGGAGAAUGACUUGGAUUCUUAUCAGUUUGACUUAGUUCUUUUUAUGUUUGGGAAAUGAGACUUUUAUUAGAGAAAUUUGUAAUAAAAUUUUUCCCCAAUUUGUUGUUUCCCUUCUAAUCUUGGUUGCUUUGGUUUUGUUUAUACAAAACCUUUUAAAUUUAAUAUAUUCAAAAUUAUUCAUUUUACAGCUUGUAAUAUUUUCUUUGGUCAUAAAUUCUUCCCUUCUCCAUAAAUCUGACAGGUAAACUAUUCUAUGUUCCCCUAAUUUACUUAUAAUAUCACUCUUUAUGUUUAAAUCAUAUUCCUAUUUGGACUUUAUCUUGGUAUAGGGUGUGAAAUAUUGAUCUAAACCUUUUUUUUUUUUGGCAAUACUGUUUUCCAAUUUUCCCCGGCAGUUUUUGUCAAAAAGUGAGUUCUUAUCCCCCAAACUGGAAUCUUUGGGUUUAUCAAACACUAGGUUGCUGCGGUCAUAUACUCCUAAUCUGUUCCAUUGAUCUGCCUUUCUAUUUCUUAGCCAAUACCAAAUUAUUUUGAUGAUUACUGAUUAUAAUACAGUUUAAGAUCUGGUACCAUGAGGCAACCAUCCUUCACAUUUUUUCAUUUGUUCCUUUGAUAUUAUCGACCUUUUUUUUUCCAGAUGAAUUUUGUUCUCAUUUUUUCUUGUUCUAAAAAAUAGUUUGGUUGGCAUGGAGUGCACUGAAUGAGUAAAUUAAUUUAGGUAGGUAGGUUUUUAUUAUAUUAGCUCAACCUACUUGAGCAAUUAAUGUUUUCUCAAUUGUUUAGAUCUAACUUUAUUUCUGUGAUGUGUUUUGUGAUUAUGUUCAUAUAAUUACUGUAUUUGUCUUGGCAAAUAGAUUCCCAGGUAUUUUAUAUUGUCUAGAGUGAUUUUAAAUGGAGUUCCUCUAACUCUUGCUACUGGACUUUGUUGGAAAUAUAUAGAAAUGCUAAUGAUUUAUAUGGGUUAUUUUGUAUCCUGCAACUUUGCUAAAGCUAUUAAUUAUUUCAACUAAUUUUAGUUGAUUUUCUAGGGUUCUCUAAAUACACCAUCAUAUCAUCCACAGAGUGUGAUAGUUUAGUUUCCUUAAUGCCUGCUUUAAUUUCUUCAAUUCCUUUUUCUUCUCUAAUUGCUAAAGCUAGUAUUGCUAAUACAAUAUUAAAUAAUAGAGGUGAUAAUGGGCAUCCUUGCUUCAUUCCUGAUCUUAUUGAGAAGAAUUUUAACUUAUCCCCUUUGCAAUUGAUACUUGCUGAUGGUUUUAAAUAAAUACUACUUAUUAUUUUAAGGAAAGGCUCUUUUAUUCUUAUACUUCAUAAUGUUUUUAAUAGGAAUGGGUGAUAUAUUUUGUUAAAAGUCUUUUCUGAAUCUACUGAGAUAAUCAUGUGAUUUCUGUUAGUUUAAUAAUAGAUAUGGUCAAUCAUGAUGAUAGUUCUAAUAUUAAACCAGCUUUGCAUUCCUGAUAUAAAUCCUACCUGGUCAUAGUGAAUAAUACUUGUGAUAUAUUGCUGUAGUCUCUUUGCUAAAAUUUUUUAAAAAUUUGUUUGCAACAAUGUUCAUUAAGAAAAUUGGUCUUUAAUUUUCUUUCUCUGUUUUUGGUCUUCCUGGCUUAGGUAUCAGCACUGUAUUUGUGUCAUAGAAAAAAUUUGGUAGUACACCUUUUUUGAUUAAUUUGCCAAAUCAUUUGUAUAGUUUGGGGAUUAAUUGUUUUUUAAACAUUUGAUAGAAUUCACUUGUGAAUCCAUCUAGCCAGAUGGGGGAUUUUUUUCUUAGGGAGUUCAUUGAUGGCUUGUUAAAUUUAUUUUUCUGAGAUAGGAGUAAGUAAGUAUUCUAUUGCCUUUUUUGUUAAUCUAGGGAAUUUAUAUUUUUGUAAAUACUUAUCUAUUUCACCUCGAUUCUCAUUUGUUGUCAUAUUAUUGGGCAAAAUAGUUCCUAAUGAUUGCUUUAAUUUCCUGUUCAUUGCAAGUAAAAUCAUCCUUUUCAUUUUUGAUACUGGUAAUUUGUUCUUUUCUUUCCUUUUUUAAAAAUCAAGCUAAUCAGUGCUCUAUCUCUUUUCUUUGUUUUUUUAUAGAACCAAUUCCUAGUUUUAUUUAUUGGUUCAAAAUUUCUUUUAUUUUCAGUUUUAUUAAUUUCCCCUUUGAUUUUUAGGGUUUCCAAUUUAGUCUUUAAUUGGGAGUUUUAACUUGUUCUUUUUCUCAUUUUUAAAAGUUGUAUCCUCAAUUCAUUGAUCUGUUUUUUCCUCUGUUUUAUUAAUAUAAGCAUUCAGGGAUAUAAAUUUCCCCCUGAAUAUUGCUUUUGCUUUGUCUGUAUCCUGUAAAUCUUUGGGAAUGAGUGUAUAGAGGGAAAGAUAAUGAGUUAAUUUCCUUUUGUUGCACCCAUACUUUGUUUCCAGGAUUUUACCCUGUAAGAUAAAGAAUCCUAGGAAUAUUUUUGCACAUACUCUUCUUUGAGAUACAGCCUCAAUAGUGAAAUCUCAGGAUCAAAGGGCAUAAACAAAUUGGCAACUUUUCUACAUAUUUCAAACUGUUUCCCAGAUCAGUUGAACUACUUCUUGACUCCAUCAAGAGUGAACCCAUUAGGCAGCUGGAUAACUCAGUGGAUUGAGAGCCAGGCCUAGAGACGAGAAGUCCUAGGUUCAAAUCUGACCUCAGACACUUCCCAGCUGUGUGACCCUGGGCAAGUCACUUGACCCCCAUUGCCUAGCCCUUACCACUCUCCUGCCUUGGAGCCAAUACACAGUAUUGACUCCAAGAUGGAAGGUAAGGGUUUAAAAAAAAAAAAGAGCAAACUCAUUUGUCUGUCUUUCCAUUACCCAUGCAAAAAUUUUUCCAUCUUUUAGCAGCUUUGAUAGUGGAGUAUAUGAUGAUACUCUGAUUAUUCUAGUGUUUUUGAACAUUUUCCCAGUAGUUAUUGUUAGUUUAUAUUUCCUCUCUUGAAAACUCUUACUUUAUAUCUUUUCAUUGCAUAAGUGUGUCAUGACACAAUCUUUUAUGUUUGUAUCAAAUUCCUUUUGAUUGUGCACAUAAGACUUUUUUUUUAGUUAUUUAAUGUGAAGUUCUCUCUGCCCGCCUCCCCAAGUGUGUCUUGUAGUGCUAGCUGCAUUGGUUUAAUUUACAAAGCUUCUAAAUCUUAUAAUAUUAGUGCUGCAAAAUUUGCCUUUCAUAAUCUAUUCUAUCCCUAUUCUGAUGUUAGAAUUUCCCUUUGUACUUAAUGAUGAAAUAUAUAGCCUUCUAACUUAUUCAUAGUGUGAUGGGGUUUUUGUUGUUGUUGUUUUGUUUUUUGUUUUCUUUUGUUUUUUUGUAUUUGGAUAACAUUCAUUUGGAAUAGAUUGUGGCAAAAGACCCAGGUUUCACCAGGUUGCUAUGUAUCAGUUUUCCCAGCAGUUAUUGUCAAAUAAAGAAUCUCUUCCCUAGUAGUUUGUGUUCUUGGGUUUAUUGCUCACUAGGUUGCCAUGUAUGUUUCUUCUCAUCUCACUUACCUAGUUUAUUCUACUCCUCUGCUUUGCUACCCUUAUCCAGUACUAGAUAGUUUGAAUGAUUGUUGCCCCAUAGUAUAGUUGGAGAUUUGCUAGAACCAUGCCUCUUUUCUUCCUACAUUUUGUUCCCUUCAUACUUUUGUACCUCUUGCAUUUUGCCAAAAAAUUUCAUUAUAUUUUAAAUUUUUAUGUUAUCUCUCUUGGAAAAUGUUUGGUGAAAAAAUUUGGUGCAGUAAUUUAGGUAAUAACAACAUUUUAAUUCUACUUUUGUGUUAGCUAAGAAUAUGGUCUAUCUCUAUAAUUACUUAGAUCUUUUAUUUUUGUAAAAGUUAUUUUGGUAUUAAAUUAAUAGAGGUCUGGUUUAUGUUUUGGUAGGUUAAACCAAAUAUUUUAUAUGUUUUAUCUUACAUUGAAUUUCUUUUCUUAUUUCUUUUGUUGAUUAUUGUCCUUCACAUUCAAAGAGGACCAAGAUGAUAUUUCUGCUGUCUUUUGACUCAAGCAUAAAUUGGAUCUAAGUAAGGCAAAGUUGCACAAAGUCAUCAGCCUCACUCUUUUCUGGAGACAUCCCAAGUCCAGUGGCAAAACAAAAGUCAAGAUGACUGGUGAUGGCUCAGGAUGCAGUGGAUGACUUUGGCUUCUUCGAUGUCUAAUCAAGCUCCAAAGGCUCCACAACACCUACUUCGGUUUCCUUUAUGGCCAUUGGAACAAAUUGUUUUCAUCUGCCCAUUCUGCCAACGGGACAUGCUUGAGGUAGACACCCCUCCCCCAAUUCACUGAUGAGUUUGAGACCCGUCAGUUAUUCUCAACAUUCUCGCCCCUGUGAACCCAAUUUACCAACGUGUGGCUACAGGGCAAGCGACAGCUUCUUGGAGCCACAGGUGAGAGCUGAGUGUCAGGUAGACAUCAAAGAAGGAAAUCAGCUUCAUAAAGGGUUUAGCAAGCCCUCACACCACAUGUUCUAGUCUUUCAUGAACAUCCCACGUACCCCCAUUUCUUCUGUUAAUAUUUUACCAAAGCUGGUGACUUUUAUGGAUUUAGUUUGCAUGCUGCUAUUACUGAAGCUUUCAUUAUUUUCAAGAAAUUUGUUAAUGAUUUUCCUGUGUUCUUUAAGUAAACCAUUAUAUUGUUACAAAGGGAAAUAUUUUUUGCUUUCUUUUUGUUUGUUGAUUUCAUCUUGUUCUAUUGCUACAGCUACUAUUUCUAGGACUAUGUUAAGUAAGAGUAGAGAUGGCAGAAACUCAUACUUAAAAUAGUGUUUUCUUUUAUAAAUAAUUCUAUGCUUGGGUUUUAAAUGGAUGCCUUUUCUUCUAAUAAGAAAAAGUCAUUUCCUUGCUAACAUUUAAAGUUAGUCAUAUGUUAUCAGGCCUUUUCUGCAACUAUCAGUAUAAUCUUGUGAUUUUAAAAAUUAUUUUAUUAUUAACAAUGGUUAUUUUAUAGCAAAAUUUUCCUAAUGUGAAAUUAUUCUUGUAAUCUUAUUAUAAAGACUACUUUGCUAGAGGGAAUAAAAUGUUUUAAAACAUCUUUGCUUUACCUAUUUGCUAAUAUUUUAUUUAAUUUUUUUCAAAAUUAAUCUUUAAUGGUAUUAAUCUAUGCUUUUUUCUCUUUUUCUCUGUGUUAGUUGUCAAGAUCACUUUUCUUUUCAUAGGAAGAAUUUGGUACGGUGCCUUCUUUCUCUUUAUUCAAACAGUUUCUAUUGCUAAACAGUUUUCUGAUCUUUGAAUGUUUACUAGAACUCAUUUCCAAAUUCAUCUGGAUCAACACUAAUUUUCUUAGGAAAUUGAUUUGCUAAAUUUCUAAAUUUUUUAUAUUUUCUCUUCUAUCAAUCUAGUUAUUUCACAGUUUUGAAAAUAUUUAUCUGUGUUAUUAGGAAUUUUUUUAAAACCCUGACCUUCUGUCCUGGAAUCGAUACUGUGUAUUGGUUCCAAGGCAGAAGAGUGGUAAGGGCUAGGCAAUGGGGGUCAAGUGACUUGCCCAGGAUCACACAGCUAAGAAAUGUCUGAGGCCAGAUUUGAACCUAGGACCUCCCAUCUCUAGGUCUGGUUCUCAAUCCACUGAGCCACCCAGCUGCCCCCUUAUUGGGAAUUUUAAAAAUAUUCAUCCUUAUUAUUAGCAUUUUUAGUUUGUUGGAAUAUAAUCAUGCUAGAAGUUCCAGAGAAUAUUUUUUAUUUCCUUUUCAUUUAUCAUGACAUUCCAUUUCUCAUUUAAAAACAUUUUGAUGCAGAAGAAAACAUAUGAUUUAUCACUUGCUUAUUUUGGGUAUAUGAUUUGGAGUUUUGAUUUUAAAAGAUUACUCUAUUACAAAAAUGAAUAAUAUGGAAAUAGGUUUUGAGUGAUAAUACAUAUAUAACCCAGUGGAAUUGCUUGUCAUCUCUGGGGAGGGGGAGGGAAGAGAAGAGGGAGACAACACGAAUCAUGUAACCAUAGAAAACUUAUGUGUAAAUUUGUUACUGGAAUAAAAUAAAGAAAAAUUUAAGAAAGAAGUGUUUAUGUUUCAGGCACUAUUCUAAACUGAAAAUACAAAGAAAGAAAAGGCAGUCCCUUUCCUUGAGAAGGUCAUAAUGUAAUGAGAGCAAAUCAGAUUAGCUAAUCAUCUUUUUAUUGCAAUUUUUAUUUUAAAAAGCUUUUUAGUUUUAUUUCUCAACCAAUCUUUUUUUCCUUCAGGUUUGUUAAUUAAAAAAAAAAGAAAUUCUACUCCUGUGCUUGUUUGGGGAUAAUUUAUUUGUCAGUUUUCUACAUUUUCUAUUUGCACACUCAAUUCAUUGAUCUCCUUUCUGUUAAUGUGUGUUAUAAGAUAUAAUUUUUCUAUAAGAAUUGCUUUUGCUAGAUCCUACAAAUUUUGGGACUUUGUGUCAUUACUAUAAUUUUAUUUAACAAAGUUAUUUAUUAGGUCUAUGAGUUGUUUUUUGAUCCAUUUAUUAUUUAUGCUAUUAUUUAGUAUCAUUUACUUCUCUGUUCUUUGUUCACAUUAACUAUAUUGGUUUUGAAUUGUGUGUGUAAUGGUCUAUACAUGUUUAAUAUUUUUUGCCUAUGAUUGUUUAUGACUUCUUUAUGCUCUAGCACAUCAUCACAUUUAUCCCUCUAGCACAACAACUGUAUAGGAAGAAAUGACAAGACAUAAAUAGGUAUAUAGAUAUAUGUAUGCUUAAAUACAUAUACGUGUAUAUAUAUAUAUGCAUAUAUAUGUAUGUAUACAACUAGAGCUAAAAAAAGAGGUUCAUACUAAAAGAAAUGGGAAAAGAAACAAAAGGGGGUAAACUUAUAUGUCACAAAGAAGCUCAUGGUGGGAGGGGGGAGAACAUUAAUACACUGGAAGGGUAAAGAGGUUGGAGAUAGGAAAUACUCAACUUUUACAUGCAUUGAAAUUGACUCAAAGAGGGAAGAACAAUCAAAUACAUUGGGGCAGAGAAUUGAUUUGCGCCCUAUAGGGAAGUAGAAGGGUAACAAACAGAUUGGUGGGGAGGGAAGUAGUACAAGGGAGGAAUAGAGUGGAGGGGGUUAGUAUAAAAGGAUUGUAAAGAAAAUAAGAAGGGAAUAAGAACGGAGUGGAGGUUAGAAAGGGAAGCAAAAUAAGGGUGGGAAUUAGGGGGGCCAAUUAAAAACAAAACAUUGGUGUCAAAGGAAAUAGUGAAAGAAGAAAAGGCAGGAAUAGAAGUGGAAAUCAAAAUGCAGGGAAAUACACAGCUAGUAAUCAUAACUCUCAAUGUGAAUGGAAUGAACUCACCCAUAAAACGCAAGCAAAUAGCAGAGUGGAUUAGAAACCAAAACCCUACCAUAUGCUGUCUAUAAGAAACACACAUGAGGAAGGUAGACACACAUAGGGUAAAAGUAAGAGGGUGGAGCCAAAUCUAUUGGGCAUCAACUGAUAAAAAGAAGAAAGGAGUCUCAAUCAUGAUAUCUGACAAAGCCAAAGUAAAAAUAAAUCUAGUUAAAAGAGAUAGGGAAGGUAAUUACAUCCUGAUAAAAGGUAGUAUAGACAGUGAGGAAAUAUCAGUACUCAACAUGUAUGCAUCAAAUGGCAUAGCAUCCAAAUUUCUAAAGGAGAAACCAGUGGAGCUUAAGGAUGAAAUAGAUAGGAAAACUAUACUAGUGGGAAACCUGAAAGAUAGACCUUCUCAUAGACCUUCCUCUAUCAGAAGUAGAUAAAUCAAACCAAAAAAUACAUGAGAAAGAGGUAAGAUAAGUGAAUGAAAUCUUAGAAAAAUUAGAGUUAGUAGAUAUGUGGAGAAAAAUAAAUAGGGACAAAAAGGAAUACACUUUUUUUUCAGCAGCACAUGGUGCAUUCACAAAGACUGAACAUGUACCAGGGCAUAAAAACAUUGCAAACCAAUGCAAAAGAGCAGAAAUAAUAAAUGCAACUUCUUAGAUCACAAUGCAAUGAAAUUAAUAAUUAGUAAGGGAACAUGGAGAGGUAAAUAGAAAAUUAAUUGGAAAUUUAAAAAUACAAUUCUCCAAAAUCAGUUAGUUAAGGAACAAACCAUAGAAAUAACUAAUAAUUUCAUUGAAGAAAAUGACAAUGAUGAGACAUCCUUUCAAAAUCUAUGGGAUGCAGUCAGAGCAGUACUCAGGGGGAAAUUUAUAUCCUUGAGUUCAUAUAUUAACAAAUUAGAGAGGGCAGCAGUCAAUGAAUUAGGCAUGCAAAUUUAAAAAAACUAGAAAGUGAACAAAUUAAAAAUCCUCAGAUGAAGACUAAAUUAGAGAUCCUAAAAAUCAAAGGAGAAAUUAAUAAAAUUAAAAGUCAAAGAACUAUUGAUUUAAUAAAUAAGACAAGAAGAAGACUUGGAAAAAACAAAUAAAAUACACAACAUACUGGCCAAUUUAAUUUUAAAAAGGAAGGAAGAAAACCAAAUUGACAGUAUCCAAGAUGAAAAGGGAGACCUCACCUCUAAUGAAGAGGAAAUUAAGGUAAUCACUAAAAACUAUUAUGCCCAAUUAUAUGGCAAUACAUAUGGCAAUCUAGGUCAUAUGGAUGAAUAUUUACUAAAAUAUAAACUGCCUAGACCAACAGAGGAAGAAAUAGGCUACCUAAACAACCCCACAUUAGGAAAAGAAAUUGAAUAAGCCAUCAAAGGACUCCCUAAGAAAAAAUCCCCAGGUCCAGAUGGAUUCACAAAUUAAUUUUAUCAAACAUUAAAAGAACAACUAGUCCCAAAAUUAUACAAACUAUUCGACAGAAUAAGCAAAGAAGGAGUUCUACCAAAUUCCUUUUAACACACAAAUGUGGUACUGAUUCCAAAGCUAGGCAGGUCAAAAACAGAGAAAGAAAACUAUAGACCAAUCUAUUUAAUGAAUAUAGAUGCAAAAAUCUCAAAUAGGAUACUAGCAAAAAGAUUCCAACAAGUGAUCAUGAGAGUUAUUCACUAUGACCAGAUGGGAUUCAUACCAGGAAUGCAAGGAUGGUUCAAUAUUAGGAAAACCAUCUACAUAAUUGACCAUAUUAAUAAACAAACUGACAAAAUCACAUGAUUAUCUCAAUAGAUGCAGGAAAAAGCCUUUGACAAAAUACAACACUCAUUCCUACUGAAAAUACUAGAAAGUAUAGGAAUAGAAGGGCCUUUCCUAAAAAUAAUAAAUAGUAUAUAUCUAAAACCAUCAGCAAACAUCAUUUGCAAUGGGGACAAACUAGAAGCCUUCCCAAUAAGAUCAGGAGUGAAACAAGGAUGCCCAUUAUCACCUCUAUUAUUUAACAUUGUACUAGAAACACUAGCAAUAGCAAUUAGAGAAGAAAAAGAAAUUGAAGGUAUUAAAAUAGGCAAUGAGGAGAUUAAGCUAUCACUCUUUGCGGAUGAUAAGAAGGUCUACUUAAAGAAUCCUAGAGAAUCAACUAAAAAGCUAGUCGAAAUUAUCAACAACUUUAACAAAGUUGCAGAAUACAAAAUAAACCCAAAUAAGUCAUCAGCAUUUCUAUAUAUCUCUAACACAUCUCAGCAGCAAGAAUUAGAAAGAGAAAUUCCAUUUAAAAUCACCCUAGACAUUAUAAAAUAUUUAGGAAACUAUCUGCCGAGACAAACGUAGGAACUAUAUGAAAACAACUACAAAACACUCUCCACACAAUUAAAACUAGAUCUAAACAAUAACAAAGUUCAUUUGGAAGAACAAAAGAUCAAGGAUAUCCAGGGAAAUCGUGAAAAAAAUGCAAAGGAAGUAGAACUUGCAGUCCCAGAUCUUAAACUAUACUAUAAAGCAGUGCUCAUCAAAACAAUUUGGUACUGGCUAUGAGACAGAAAGGAGGAUCAGUGAAACAGACUUGGGGUAAGUGACCUCAGCAAGACAGUCUAUGUGAUAAGCCCAAAGAUCCCAGCUUUUGGGACCAAAAUCCACUAUUUGAUAAAAAUUGCUGGGAAAAUUGGAAGACAGUAUGGGAGAAAUUAGGUUUGGAUCAACAUUUCACACCCUACACCAAGAUAAACUCAGAAUGGGUUAAUGACUUGAAUAUAAAGAAGGAACAUAUAAGCAAAUUAGGUGAACACAAUAAUAUACAUGUCAGAUCUUUGGGAAAGGAAAGACUUUAAAACCAAACAAGAGCUAGGAAAAAAAUCCCAAAAUAUAAAAUCAAUAAUUUUGAUUACAUCAAAUUAAAAAGUUUUGUAUAAAUAAAACUAGUGCAACCAAAAUGAGAAGGGAAGCAACAAAUUGGGAAACAAUCUUCAUAACAAAAACCUCUGACAAAGGUCUAAUUACUCAAAUUUAUAAAGAGCCAAACCAAUUGUACAAAAAAAUCAAGCCAUUCUCCAAUUGAUAAAUGGGCAAGGGUGAUGAAUAGGCAAUUUUCAGUUAAAGAAAUAAAAACUAUUAAUAAAUACAUGAAAAAGUGUUCUAAAUCUCUUAUAAUCAGAGAGUUGCAAAUCAAAACAACUCUGGGGUAUCACCUCACGACCUAGCAGAUUGGCUAACAUGACAGCAGCAGAAAGUAAUGAAUGCUGGAGGGGAUGUGGCAAAGUUGGGACAUUAAUUCAUUGCUGGUGGAGUUGUGAACUGAUCCAAUCAUUCUGGAGGGCAAUUUGGAACUAUGCCCAAAGGGCAAUAAAAGAUUGUCUGCCCUUUGAUCCAGCCAUAGCACUACUGGGCUUGUACCCGAAAGAGAUAAUAAGGAAAAAGAAAUGUACAAGAAUAUUCAUAGCUGCACUCUUUGUGGUGGCAAAAAAUUAGAAAAUGAGGCGAUGCCCUUCGAUUGGGGAAUGGCUGAACAAACUGUGGUAUAUGUUGGUGAUGGAGUACUAUUGUGCUAAAAGGAAUAAUAAAGUGGAGAAGUUCCAUGGAGACUGGAACAACCUCCAGGAAGUGAUGCAGAGCGAAAGGAGCAGAACCAGGAGAACAUUGUACACAGAGACUGAUACACUGUGGUACAAUUGGAUGUAAUGGACUUCUCCAUUAAUAGCAAUGCAGUGAUCCUGAACAACUGGGAGGGAUCUAUGAGAAAGAUACUAUCCACAUUCAGAGGAAAAACUGUGGGAGUAGAAACACAGAAGAAAAACAACUGUUUGAAUACAUGGGUUGAGGGGAUAUGGCUGGGGAUGUAGACCCUAAAGGUUCACCCUAGUGCAAAUACCAACAACAUGGAAAUAGGUUCCAAUCAAGGACACUUUUAAUACCCAGUGAAAUUGCGUGGCAGCUGCGGGAAGGCUGGGGGAAGGGGAGGGAGGGAAAUAAUGUGAUUAUUGUAACUGAGGAAUAAUGUUCUAAAUUGACUAAAUAAAUUAAUUUAAAUUAAAAAAUCAAUAAAACCAGUAGGACAGAAAAAAAAAUGUUAACUCUUGUGUAUGCCAGAUGAUUAAAAUAGUCCUCUGCUCUUUAAUUCUCAAAAAAAAAAAAAGGUAGGAUCACUAAAUAUAUGCAGCUGUAUUGCUUGGAACAACUCUAUUCCAAUUUCCUCUUUUCCCUCUUCUCUCUGAGUUCAAACAAAAAUCAGUUAAUUUCACCACCCCCAUACAUACACACAUACAUCCUUUUGUUGUUGUUUUGUAAUCAGUCUUAUAAUCAAUAGUCUGUUUCACUUGUGGUGAUCACCUCUGAAAUCUUUCCCUCUCCUCCAUAUCCUGGAAUAUUUUUUGUGCUUAUUUUAUAGUAUAUUUAUUAGUAUACAUAAUAUUAUUCCUUGACAGUCUAGAUAAGGAUGAAAUUCAUUAGAAUUUUCUCAUUAGAAUCAAAGUAUGUUUGCAUAACCUUCGUCUAAAGUAUGCUAGUUACUAAAAAUAAUGUUUCUCUCUCUAUUACCUCUACCUUUCACUUUCUAAAUGAUAUUUUUGAGUAACCAGACAAUCCCUAGUCUUCCCAGGGCUUCAUUCCAUUCCCUAGAUGACUCAAAUAUGAGGAAGAAAAUUCCACUAAUAUUUCUCUACAUUUUCAGAAUAUAUACACAGAAUCACCUAGCCCUUAUGAGCAAUUCAAACUUGUUUACUUUUCUUAAGUUACUUUUGUUUUCCAUAUUUGCAUUUCACAGAAUCUAUUUGAUGUGAUUUUCUCAAAAGGUAAGUUUAGAAGUCAUCAGUUAUGUUAAAAAAUCAAUUUUUCCCAUUUUUAGGAAGAAUAAUCCUCCACCUUUUAGAAUAAACUAGGGGUAAAUCAUUUUUGUUUUGCUUUAAAAAAUGAUAAUAUUGCCUGUCCUUUAAUUUUUUAAUAUUGGUGAUUAGGUUGUGUGAUUCUGGCUUUGGUACCUUGAUACAUGAUAUGUCUUUUCCAGAGCACUUCUGAUUUAUUAUUUUUUUCUGUGACUUUAGAGCUCUGUAUUUUGACAUUCAUCUUUCUGGAUGAAUUAAAAUUAAAGUUUAUGUCCAAUAGUAUCCUGUGAAUCCUAUUAAUCUCUACUUGGCUCUUUAGUAGCACUCUUUCUGGGAAGUCUUAUUAUAUCCUAAAAUAUAGUCUUAAUUUUUUGUAUCUUCACAUUCUUGCAAAAAGUCAGCUUC